GGGCUUAGUCUUACUUAAAAACGAAAUGCUAACUCAAAAAUUGUAAAUGAAAAUCAAUGUGAAUGUACACAAUGUAUACGUGGUAGUACGAGUAACAUGCAAACAAUGUAAAGAAACAGGCCGUACAGUGACCUAUAAUAGUUGUUAAUUUCUGUGUCAUUUUAAUCUCUUGUGGAGAAUUGUCUCAUUGGCAAUCAUACCACAUCUUCUUUUUUUUUUAUUAUAAUUAAUCAUUCAAAUUGAAACACUCCACAUCAUUCUCGGUGACAACAAGUGAAAAGGAAAGAAUAAUCAGUUUCAGACAUAUUCAAUUCUACGAGAUCAAGAAGCUUUUUUUUUUAAUUUUUCAAUCUGAAGCUGGUACAUGUACACACGCUAUUGUUGAUACGGUGUAGUUGAUUAUUAAAAGUCAAACUUCGCCAGGAACCCACACAGACAAGCCUUAAAAUGCCAAAGGACAAACUUCAAUUCUAAAAGCGUAAAUUUAUGACAUGGAUGAAAGGUUUUCAAAUUGACACUCAUACCACAUCU
Molecule: long non-coding RNA, 531 nt
Filed under: Mytilus galloprovincialis (Mediterranean mussel)
Lineage: Eukaryota; Metazoa; Mollusca; Bivalvia; Mytilida; Mytilidae
Source: RNAcentral